UGUUCAGAGAGUGGGUGGGUGUGGGUUCAGUUUAAUGGCGGACCGACCUGCCGAGGUAGAGGGGCUCGUGGAGGACGCAUAGGUCGAUGCCGGCGACGAACAUCUGCGCCAGCGGGCUGAAGGCGGCGGUGAAUACCGGGCCCCGCUUCUCCACGCAGUAGGUCAGCAGCAGGAGUCGACGGAUGGACCAGGGAUCGCGCGCACGUACGCAGUACACGACGGCGGCGAUCUCGACGGUGCCGCGGAGCCGCCAGGCGGCGAGGCCGGCGCCCCACUGCGUGGACAGCGCCAGCGCCGCCGCCUGCGCGAAGCUGAGCAGCGACAUGAGCGCCGUGGCCGAGUACACCGCCGGGUACAGGCGCGUGAGCCGCCGCUGCAGCAGCAGCCACCCCGCGAACCCCACCACGUUCGCCAGCAUCGACGCCGACCCCAGCACCCACCGCACCGCGCUCCGGUGCUGCUCCUCGACGCCGGCCGCCGCCGCCGACGACGGGGGCAGGUGGUGGUGGAGGUGGGUGAGGGACGCGCCCUUGUAGAAGGUGAGCAUCAUGGCCCCCGUGAGGGACAGCAGCGUGCCGGAGAUCUUGGCGCUCCCGGACUUGCUCCGAACCUCCAGCGCCUCAUACCUAGCACAGGUCAUGGAUGAGAUUCAUUUGAAUUUGUUUGGUUUUCUACUAAUUGUGUUUAUAAAUCAUGGCUCAUAGGUGUGCAAUACAAACCUAGAAAAUUAUGAAAAAGUGUUUAAUUCUGAUUCACAUGACUUAGAAAAUUAUGUGUGUUAAAGUUCUGUUCAUAGGAUACGCUGAUCGAUGUGGUCCGUAAAGUCGAAGUCUUUUUCUUUUGCUGUUGAUUCAGUUCAAGAUGCUAUUAUGUGCUAGAUUUGAUGAAAACAGAUUUAAAAAGUAAUAGUGCAGAAUCAAACUAGCUAUUAGGGUCUUAUAUUGCAUUUCAAGCUCCUAUUGUACUACUCCUAGUUAGAUUAAUGGAAGCUGUAUUAAAGUGUUCAAACAGAGUCGAUUCAAACUUAUAGUCGUGCUACACACUUGUAUAUGAAACUUUGCAACAUGACCUACUACAUGGAAGAAACCUUCUUUUCACAGAAAACAACUUUUUGCCACAGGAAAGAGAAUGAACAUUUACCCGAAAGCGAGUGAUAUCAGGAAGGUAACCACCGGGAGCAGAUUGCCGAAAGUCGCAGCAAACGUUGCGGUCGUGUACUCCAGCCCGACGAAGAGCGUGUACUGAAGCAGGACCGGGCCGAGGAUUCCACUAAGGAACAGGUACGCAAAGAUUUCAGCAGUGAUCUUUGGUCUUGUCUUCCUGAAAGGAGGAACACAAAAAAAAGGCCAGUUCAUGUGCAUGAUCAGCGACAGUGAAAUACCAACGACGACUACUGUAGGCAAUGGGGCCAAGGAAUACAGUGGCCAGCAUCUGCCUGAAAGUGAUGAGGACCAGCCGGUUCAUCCCCUGGUUCAGCGCCUGCUUGAGCAGCGCGGUCAUGACGGCGAUCACGAUGUUCGUCGCCACCAUCGCCGCCGUCGGCAUCCACUGCUCCACGCAUCCUGCACUCCACAUUUUCAGUCCGUCUGCCUCGAUGAUCUGAUGGGCAAUUUGUUUCUGGUUAUGCCAUGGUUUUUAUAGGGGUGGUGACAGGCGAAGGUCCGGAAAAUGGCAUCUCAAGGCAUGUCUCCGACUCACGGUUUCGUUUUCGCACACGUGACCGAGAGCUAAAACAUGGCCCGGGGGAGAGGAGCACAUCGUUUGUUCUCUUAAUGUCUGAAUAAUUGUGGGAAAUUUGCCGUAUCGAGCAAAUUGCGCACCCGGCUGAAUCGAAUAGCUGUCUCUUUAUUGCAUAGUGCGAAGGAACAAAGUGGUACUGUCGCCGAGGCAUCCCUGCUCUUUCCCCACAGCAGAAUAUAGAGGCCCAAGAUCAUCAGUGUGGAUCCCAGCACACUGCAAGGGCAAAACAAAAAAUACAAAAGGUGAUGCCAUUUGGACCAGCCAUUGCAGUUCUACAAGUGCAAAAGUGGAUAAACUCACUCAUAAACUGAAAAGAUUAUGCAUCAUUUAUUUCAGUAUGGGAAAUGAAUGAAUGAUCAUGAGACUGUACUGAUUUAAUAUCUGAGGCAAAUCUGGUUUACCUUCCAAGGUAGAUGUUCUCAUGGAGAAAGAAGAAAUCAAUUAUGGCCACCAUGAUCUGGAUGAUGGGGAUGAAAGCUGAAGUGAACACUGGCCCUCUCUUCUCCACACACCAUGUCAUCAGUACAUAUCCCACUCCAGACCCCAAGAUUCCCUGCAACAUAUGAAACAAGUGUUCUUUGGUUCAGCCAAUUCUCUGCAGAGUUCACUCUUUUUUGGUAAACUGCAACAAAAAGAUCUUACUGUGUAUAGUACUGUAACAAUCUCCACUGGCUUUGUGAGGACCCACACCGAUGCCCGCCGCUGUAUCGCCGCCGUCAGGCCCCCGCCCUGCAGGGAGCUGAUGAGGAACAUGUAUGCAGUGCUGGAGUAGAGUGCUGGGUACUUCUUGGUGAGCUUGGACUGCAGCAGGAGCCAAAAGGAGAAGCACAGGCAGUUUGCCAGUAACGCUAGAGUGCCCAGGGUCCAGCUCUUCUUGCCAGAUUCUGCUGCUGCUAUUUCUGCAUGCUGGCCUGAAGGCUCUGCUUGGUGUGUCAAGGCCACACCCUUGUAGAGGGUCAGGAGCAUGACGCCUGCGAACGACAUGAGUGUCCCGAUGAUCUUCGCAGCUCCUGCCUUGUUCUUCAUGUUCAGUGACUCCACCCUACAUCCAUGAGCCGUAUUCCCAAAGGGUUUAGAUAUUAGCAAGAACAAAGUGCAUGAGAAAGGUACCAGGUAAAUUUGAAAAUCGGCACACACACACACCGGAGCAAGACAGCGAUGAGGAAAGUGAGCACAGGAGCCAGGUUGGUGAAAGUUAUUGCAAACGUUGCCGUUGUGUACUGCAGCCCGUAGAAGAAGGUAUACUGAGAGAGCGCAGCGCUAAAAUGGGAGGAAAAGUCAAUGAUGAAUCAAGCAGAAUCAUAUCUGGCAGAGCAUUCUAUAGCCGGGUCGCUGUACUAAUAUGAGGAAGUGAUUGUUGUGAUGCUAUGUUUGCCAACCGUACCCUAACGCUGCGCUGAAGAAGAGGUACACCAGGAUCUCCAGUGUGAGCUUAGGCCGUGUGUUCCUGAAAGAAAACAACAGCAGCAUCAUAUUCUAGGAUAAGUUCUGAACUCUGGUCAUCUUCUGCAAAUCAAAAUUUAUGUACCGUUCUUUGAAAAAUGCGAUCGGAGAAAGGAAGACCGUGGCCACCAGUUGACGCAGCGUGAUGAGCACUAGACGGUCGAGCCCUUCCUCGAGCGCCGCCUUGAUCAGGGCCGUUGUCACGGCAGAGAUGAGGUCGAAGACCAGCAUUGCCAUCACCGGUUUCCACUCAUCGAUGCGCGCCAUCCCCCACAUUGUGCUGCUGAAUCUUUGACACACCUUUACUUGUAUUGCCAUGAUGAUUCUCUUGUCAUGGACUACUUAUAGGCAUAAUUUACCAGACGGAGACCCUUCCGAAAAUUAAAGAGAUGUCAUGGAGGAUACGCACAAAUGACCCUUUUACCCUCCAAAGAAAAGGCGCUGGUGAUGACACAUAAUGCGAUUACUUAUUGGCAUGAAACGGUCCAUCUCGACAUGUUCUUUUUCCUUCAGUGCCAUGAGAAGCUACUGACACGAAUCACAAAGAUGUUUUGACUGGUGGAAGCAUCUCCUCCAUUGCUGAGUUCGCAAUGACAGUGGAAAAGACUCCACUAUUUGCACACUUCGGUGAGUUUGGCAAGCUCCUGUUUGGGCUACAAACUUGACCCUAUUCUCAUCAUGGUAAGGGUGCAGAGCUAUUCAGUUGUGCAGAAAAGGCGGUUCUGUCCCGUCCGAUCCAAUCCAGAGGAAAGCAGGAUGGUGAGUUGUUAGUGGAGUGAUCACCUAGUAUGAAAGCUCCCUGUCUCAUCCAUCUCCCUUGAUAAUGGAAAUUGGCGACGCCGAGAGACGAGCAGCUCCCAGUUGCGCAGAGGAAUGGCGAAAGCGGGUUGUCGGUAUGAUGCGGCAUUGGUGCACAUGGCGGAACUACACUUUGCUGCAACUGCACAUUACUUCUUGAUCAGGAAACGUCCAGCAAUGCCAGGCUAGCCCCUAGACGCAGCAAUAAGAAAAAUCUUCGUCGCCGACAACUGGUAGUAGAUCCAGACCGGGGCAGUGACAUAAAAUUCCCCGAGGUUUUGACUGCGCACAUUGUGCAGCGAGCACCCACCCACUCGUCUCUUUCAGCGGUAACGAUGUUACCGCCGCUUGUUUCCUACCGCAGGGGUACUGGAUCCAGACAAGAUGCUGAAUUAUGCCCACCUGGAGAAUAGCAUCCAUGUUCAGGUAACUUACUGGAUCACAUAGUGCUAGCAAAUCAACAUUGUUCAGGAAUUAGGAUGGUGAUUCAUGAGAGUGCAAAGCAAAAUGAAUCUUUAUCAACUGAUUUGCAUGCAGAUCACAAUCUAAGCCACAUCUGCAGCCCUAUCCUACUAGGCUUUAGCUGCCUGCAAGGACAGUUAGAUGGGGAACAGUAGGGUAUUGUCCCGAUCACAGUACAUACCCUAAGCAAAAGCACAUUAAGAAGCAAAGGAAAGAGAAGGCACUGGCUUUUGCCAUAAGCCUAUGGCUGAGAAAAGUGCUGACUCUCCUCCAUGCUGAUAAAAAGCUGCCUUUAACCUGACACAAAAAAAGGUUGUGUGUCAAAAAAGAAAAGGAGAAACUUGUCAUUUUCAUUUUGUGAGAAUAAACUGUUUUCAUAUAUCAGUGUGCAUCUUGUAAAAAGAAGUUGUAUCAAAAAAAUAGAAGGAAAGAUUUGCCUUU
Long non-coding RNA from Triticum aestivum (bread wheat), 4884 nucleotides. RefSeq lists it as uncharacterized. The record is from RefSeq and is a predicted model, not a curated record. The transcript has 4 exons. Lineage: Eukaryota; Viridiplantae; Streptophyta; Magnoliopsida; Poales; Poaceae.